UAUUUCUCCGUACGGGGAAGGAUGAGAAGCUUCGACUAAGGUUCGAUUCGAGCGCAGCGAGAAAGCGUUGCCGCAGGCAACGACCCGAAGGGUAAGGAGCGGAGCGACGAAUAAUCCUUCCCCCACCACCA
Molecule: small RNA, 131 nt
Filed under: Salmonella enterica
Lineage: Bacteria; Pseudomonadati; Pseudomonadota; Gammaproteobacteria; Enterobacterales; Enterobacteriaceae
Also listed under: 1 other name
Description: RtT sRNA
Rfam family: RtT RNA
About the family: This family represents a bacterial cis-regulatory element known as RtT RNA.
Source: RNAcentral